CACGAACCGUACGAACGUUAUUCGGAAUUACUGGGCUUAAAGGGUGCGUAGGCGGCUCAGAAAGUUGGGUGUGAAAGCCCUCGGCUUAACCGAGGAACAGCGCUCAAAACUACUGAGCUCGAGGAAGACAGAGGUGAGCGGAACUACGGGUGGAGCGGUGAAAUGCGUUGAUAUCCGUAGGAACACCAGGGGCGAAAGCGGCUCACUGGGUCUUUUCUGACGCUGAUGCACGAAAGCCAGGGGAGCGAACGGGAUUAGAUACCCCGGUAGUCCUGGCCGUAAACUAUGAGCACUGGAUCGAAGGGUACUCCAUAGCCUUUUGGUCGUAGCGAAAGUGUUAAGUGCUCCGCCUGGGGAUUAUGGUCGCAAGGCUGAA
RNAcentral lists this ribosomal RNA (376 nucleotides) under uncultured bacterium. Its description in RNAcentral is "bacterial SSU rRNA". It matches the Rfam family "Bacterial small subunit ribosomal RNA", at positions 524 to 898 of the family's 1533-position model. The record is from RNAcentral.